Gyrodon lividus is the source of this 87-nucleotide non-coding RNA. Lineage: Eukaryota; Fungi; Basidiomycota; Agaricomycetes; Boletales; Gyrodontaceae. The record is from the annotation of a GenBank genome assembly.
GGCCUGGUGGUCUAGUAGUAUGAUUCCUUGUUAGGGUUGCUUACCUAAUACUCGAGGAGGUCCCGGGUUCAAUUCCCGGCCAGGCCC